Molecule: ribosomal RNA, 639 nt
Filed under: Vibrio sp. K2-10
Lineage: Bacteria; Pseudomonadati; Pseudomonadota; Gammaproteobacteria; Vibrionales; Vibrionaceae
Description: bacterial SSU rRNA
Rfam family: Bacterial small subunit ribosomal RNA
Source: RNAcentral
CGCUGGCGGCAGGCCUACACAUGCAAGUCGAGCGGAAACGAGUUAACUGAACCUUCGGGGAACGUUAACGGCGUCGAGCGGCGGACGGGUGAGUAAUGCCUGGGAAAUUGCCCUGAUGUGGGGGAUAACCAUUGGAAACGAUGGCUAAUACCGCAUAAUAGCUUCGGCUCAAAGAGGGGGACCUUCGGGCCUCUCGCGUCAGGAUAUGCCCAGGUGGGAUUAGCUAGUUGGUGAGGUAAGGGCUCACCAAGGCGACGAUCCCUAGCUGGUCUGAGAGGAUGAUCAGCCACACUGGAACUGAGACACGGUCCAGACUCCUACGGGAGGCAGCAGUGGGGAAUAUUGCACAAUGGGCGCAAGCCUGAUGCAGCCAUGCCGCGUGUAUGAAGAAGGCCUUCGGGUUGUAAAGUACUUUCAGCAGUGAGGAAGGYGGAGUCGUUAAUAGCGGCCUCGUUUGACGUUAGCUGCAGAAGAAGCACCGGCUAACUCCGUGCCAGCAGCCGCGGUAAUACGGAGGGUGCGAGCGUUAAUCGGAAUUACUGGGCGUAAAGCGCAUGCAGGUGGUUUGUUAAGUCAGAUGUGAAAGCCCGGGGCUCAACCUCGGAAUUGCAUUUGAAACUGGCAGACUAGAGUACUGUA